CUCUUAUCCAGAGUGGUCGAGGGACUGGCCCGAUGACGCCCGGCAACCGGCAGGAAACUGCGGAGGUGCUAAUUCCAGCAGGAAGAAAUUCCUGGCAGAUGAGAG
This 105-nucleotide non-coding RNA is filed under the name Acetonema longum. RNAcentral's name for it is "SAM-I sequence". It matches the Rfam family "SAM riboswitch aptamer (S box leader)". From Rfam's summary of the family: The SAM riboswitch is found upstream of a number of genes which code for proteins involved in methionine or cysteine biosynthesis in Gram-positive bacteria. The SAM riboswitch acts at the level of transcription termination control. Lineage: Bacteria; Bacillati; Bacillota; Negativicutes; Acetonemataceae. The record is from RNAcentral. RNAcentral also lists the same sequence under 1 other name.